CGGGAGAUUGGUUUAGCGAUUGCUAGGGCGCAACGUCGUGCACGUUUGUAGUCGGACCGUCAAAGUCGGCUCCACCAAAUCGAUAGUUAUCAUCUCAUUGAAAGAUCGGGACACCCUCGCCUCUAUCAAGUGGUAUCAGUUUUCAGGUUGCUCGGUGAGAAUUUCCAGUUAGCCCUUGAUUAGAUUUAUUUUCUUACCUAUUGUCCAAGAAAAAGCCACAAAACAAAAGUUAGAUCUAUUUAUCCUUUGUCAUAGCCACUCUGAGCCUUUGCAAUUUUCUUUUUAUUGUUUGCAUUAUUGAAUUAUCGGUUGCAUCGUCGUGUCGAGUUGCUGGUCUUAGUGUCUAGUUCGUUUAGAGUUUCGAGUUCUGUUCACUUUAGUCACGCCACGACUGCAUCGUUAUAGUUUCCCUUGUCCACCACACCAUCCAUCAAUUUCCACCACGUGCUAACCAUAGUUCACUGUCAUAAUCAUAGUUGAGAUCGUUUAUAUCUUCGCUUGAUCCCAUCUGCAUCUUAUCUAGUUUGUUUUGGAAAGAGGGAGAGAGAAAAAAAAAGAGAAAAAAGAAAAGAAAAAGAUAGAGAAAAAAAGAGAAAAAAAGAAAAAGAAGUCAGAGAAAAAAAGAGAGAAAGAAAAAGAAAAAAAAAGUGUGAGGAAAAAAAAAGAGAGAAGAAAAAAAAGAAAAUUCGGAUUUAUCUAGACUCAAUCUCGUAGUUGAAUUCGGAUUGGAAUCUGUUUUCUGCACUGUUCAGUAAAACAGGCAUAACUUCCUCAUACGAAGUCCGUUUUGGCUUCGCGAGUACUCAAAUGAAAACUAGCGACGAGCCGCUUCUAAAUAGUUGCAGAGGCUAGUUCAAUAUUUGACACCUAAAAAUCGGCUUCUAAAUAGGUCUUUUUGCCCUCCGAAGUUCAAAGACACAUCUUAUUCCAGUUUUUUAGGCCAGUUUUAGAAUUCUUUGACUCCUCAUAUCAAUUCGGAAUUGAGUGAUUCUUUUUGCAAUGGCAAGCUUGAGUUAGUAGCAUUCUUUGAAAAAAGUUAUCAGAAAAUUGGCUCAAACUUUUCAAGAGGAAAGUUGGAGAGAGAGUUGUUGUAUAUCCUGCUUGGCAGUUGUUUUUCAUCAUUAUCUUUACUGCCGUUGUGAUCUUCACUUAUAUCUUGCUGUCCCGAGCUACUUAGUAUCCUUCAUUGAUGCUAGUUGUGCUACGCCGGGACCUCAUUAGUGUUCUAGGCUCGCGUCUCUAGUCUGGUCUAGCCUAGGACCAGCACAGUACCGUCGUUGAGCGUUUAUUCAACAUUGCAUCUUUGAAUUGAUUAUUGCUAAUCUUUUGCUACCAUAUAUAGCCAACCCAGCUCCACAUAUUUCUACACCGUGUAUACGUACGUUCUCCUGGCAAUCGCUUUACACAAUCUUCGGAGUUAUUUGACACCGCUGGUUGCCUGUCACCACCUGCCGCAUGGUAAGAACUUGUAAGGUAUUGAUAUUUGCUUUACUGUGAGCACUUUACAACCACAUCCUAGUAGUUCAUCGAUACAUUAUUCUCGAAUUUUGUUUCUUGUUUCUACUAAUCAUGACAGGUUCCGGAGAUAGAAGUUCUUGGACGACGGACACAUCAUCACCAUCACGAGAGUUGGGACAACACACACAAGCACAUGGUCAGGUUAUCUCUUUACCGUCAUUUGAGGGUAGAUUUAAUCCUGGUAUUUAUCUAGCUUGGGAGCUUGAAGUAGAACAAGUUUUUAGUCACCAUGACUUUUCUGAACUUGAGCGAGUACGAGCUGCCACUAGAGCAAUUACUGGUUUUGCUUCUGUUUGGUGGAGUGUGCAUUGUAAGAAAAACAUUGAUAACCAACCCACAACUUGGAAAGAUUUGAAAGAUGUAACGAGACAACAAUUUUCCCUGCUUACUAUCGUCGUGAAUUGCUUCGCAAAUUUGAACAAGUUAAACAAGGCAACAACUCUGUUCAUGCUUACUACCAAGAGUUCAAAUCUUAUAUGCAUCAUUGUGACAUAGAAGAAUCUGUGGAUGAUACAAUGAAUAGAUUUUUUGGUGGUUUGAACCAUGAUAUUCAAGCACGAUUUCAGUAUAUUCCUCAUUGCAUUACUGGUAUUUAUGUUCGUGCUUGUACCUUUGAGAGACAGUUACAGGAGGAUGCAUUGGGUGACUACAACAACUACUAUUUUAGUUCAUGCUCACCACCACCGCUUGGUUCCUCCACCGUUGCACCUACUAGAGCAGCCACACCUCAGAUUGUGAGCGCGACAUCAUCUCAAGAGUAUGGUACAUUGCCAUCAUCCGUACCUACAUCAGCUACAUCUUUGCGACAAGGUAACUGUAAAGGUAUUGAUGAUAUAACUUCACAUGAGAAUGAUGCAUGCCUAGUUAACUUGAAUACAUCAUGUGUUGAGUUACCUGUUGAUUUGAGCGCAUCACCUAUUUUAGAGAAUCUAUUUUACCUGUCAUGAAUGCGUCAUGUGAUCAAACAACUGAAAUACCAAUAAUUUUGAGUGCACCCAAUGAAUUAAGUGUUGAUGCAAAAGAACCAAUGUUUAAUCAUUUUGAUAUGACCUCUAAUCUUGGUGAUGAUUCUGUGUCAAAUGACUUAUUGCAUGUUUGCUUAUUUAAGCAUGUUGUAGCAUGUAAAUUUGAUGCAAGCAAGGUUUACUCACCAAUGUUGGGAUGGUUUAAUGAUGAAUAUUGUCAAUCUUUUCAUAUCAAUAAGAGCUUCACUUAUAUGUGCAAACUGAGUUGCAAUACUUUCAUGCCUUCUACUUCUUGUGAUAAUAUUUUGGCUUUAUAUUUUAUUAACUAUGAAAGUUACUCAUGUAUACAUGUGUCAUAUGUGCAAAAUCCACGGGAAGUAAAAAUGGAUGACAUAUACAUAUACAACACGUACACCUUGUCUCUUUUGUUAGCCACAUUUCAGAUUAAGCAACGCCGAGGACGGCUUUAUUUUCAAGAAGGGGAGGAUGAUGAGGACAUGACUACCUUGGAUACGACCAAAAAUAUUGCAUACAUGCAUAUUUGUCAGGUGAUUUCUAGUGCAAACUAUUCAAUAAUCUAUUUAUGUUAUCCAGAACAAAAAUACUUCACACACUUUUGUGUGUUGUCUAAUUGCAGGUGUAUGGGACAUUUGUACAAUCCACACAUGAAGAUAAGGCAAAAGGAGAAGUUUAGGUUCUGUUCAAAAAGUCCUCUCACGUCACUUUUGGGCCAACAGAAAAUAGAGUCCAAGUCUCUCACGUUCUGGAUUCAGAUUCGGACUGCACAGACAUACCUGACUCAAAACGCCAAUAACUUUUUCAUACGGACUCCGAAUUGGGUGAUUCUUUUUUUGUUGGAAAGUAGAUUUCGUCCUCUUUCCAACCCAAUUGGAUUCACAUUUAAAUUCGUCCGGAGCGUUGAGAUAUGGGCGAAACAAUCUGAUGCUGCAGCAGAAUCUGAGUCAAACAACAAGUCCAAAGGUGUUGCAUCACCUCCACUUGGGCCCAUGAGCCUUGUACGACCUAGGGUUGGUUUUAGGCUGCUUUGGGACGUCCUCCCACCUCCUUGGCCGCCACCCCUUGCUGCUAUAUAAGUAGAUCCAUCUAGUAGCUUUUCCUUGGGAUUUGCUUAGUUAAAAGUUAGCCAUUGCAACUUCGUGUACUUCGUUUGUGUCCAACGACCAGACCAAGACCGUUUUCGGAUCCCCACCUUUAUCAAUACUUCAUCUAUAUUCGCAAUAUUCAGAUUGCAUUAUCAUAUUCUUGCUUGUUCUUCGAUUGCGUGCAGGAAUAGACCUUCAUGGUCAGGCUGAUUGUGCUGCCAGCAUCGUCAGUAACCUCGGGAGAUUGGUUUAGCGAUUGCUAGGGCGCAACGUCGUGCACGUUUGUAGUCGGACCGUCAAAGUCGGAUCCACCAAAUCGAUAGUUAUCAUCUCAUUGAAUGAUCGGGACACCCUCGCCUCUAUCAAGUGGUAUCAGUUUUCAGGUUGCUCGAUGAGAAUUUCCAGUUAGCCCUUGAUUAGAUUUAUUUUCUUACCUAUUGUCCAAGAAAAAGCCACAAAACAAAAGUUAGAUCUAUUUAUCCUUUGUCAUAGCCACUCUGAGCCUUUGCAAUUUUCUUUUCAUUGUUUGCAUUAUUGAAUUAUCGGUUGCAUCGUCGUGUCGAGUUGCUGGUCUUAGUGUCUAGUUCGUUUAGAGUUUCGAGUUCUGUUCACUUUAGUCACGCCACGACUGCAUCGUUAUAGUUUCCCUUGUCCACCACACCAUCCAUCAAUUUCCACCACGUGCUAACCAUAGUUCAUUGUCAUAAUCAUAGUUGAGAUCGUUUAUAUCUUCGCUUGAUCCCAUCUGCAUCUUAUCUAGUUUGUUUUGGAAAGAGGGAGAGAGAAAAAAAAGAGAAAAAAGAAAAGAAAAAGAUAGAGAAAAAAAAGAGAAAAAAAAGAAAAAGAAGUCAGAGAAAAAAAGAGAGAAAGAAAAAGAAAAAAAGUGUGAG
RNAcentral lists this long non-coding RNA (4476 nucleotides) under Triticum aestivum (bread wheat). RNAcentral's name for it is "long non-coding RNA (TAES_LNC024059)". Lineage: Eukaryota; Viridiplantae; Streptophyta; Magnoliopsida; Poales; Poaceae. The record is from RNAcentral.